This is a transfer RNA of Loxodonta africana (African savanna elephant), 59 nucleotides long. It matches the Rfam family "tRNA". From Rfam's summary of the family: Transfer RNA (tRNA) molecules are approximately 80 nucleotides in length. Their secondary structure includes four short double-helical elements and three loops (D, anti-codon, and T loops). Further hydrogen bonds mediate the characteristic L-shaped molecular structure. tRNAs have two regions of fundamental functional importance: the anti-codon, which is responsible for specific mRNA codon recognition, and the 3' end, to which the tRNAs corresponding amino acid is attached (by aminoacyl-tRNA synthetases). tRNAs cope with the degeneracy of the genetic code in two manners: having more than one tRNA (with a specific anti-codon) for a particular amino acid; and 'wobble' base-pairing, i.e. permitting non-standard base-pairing at the 3rd anti-codon position. The record is from Rfam. Lineage: Eukaryota; Metazoa; Chordata; Mammalia; Proboscidea; Elephantidae.
AGUGGGUUAGAGUUUGGCUGCUAACCAAAAGGUUGGUAGUUUGAAUCUACCAGCUGCUC